GUAUAGGUUUAUCGACGCUUUGUUAAGGCGAGGACAUAUGUUUACAUUCUAUAAGACUUGGUAUAUGAAUGAGACGUAGGGGCCCCCGUCAAGGGCCCUUACAGUAAGUUCACAGGUGUGUGUGGAUUAAGGGCUCGGGCGUGCACGUGCCCCGAAAGGCCAGCUACAACCCUUGCCGGUAAUUCUGUAAUGAUCCUUCCGCAGGUUCACCUACGGAAA
This 219-nucleotide unclassified non-coding RNA is filed under the name uncultured fungus. RNAcentral describes it as "sequence contains ITS1". Lineage: Eukaryota; Fungi. The record is from RNAcentral.